UUUUUUUUUUUUUUUUUCAGUUGAACCAUCUGGGCCAUCCCAGGUUUUAAAAAAAAUAACAAAACAAUUUAAAAAUAACAUCAAGGCUGCUAAUGUAAUUUCCACACAUUUUAUGAAUCUUGACAUGUUAAACAACAAAAAGCCAGGUCAUUUGUUAGACUUCUAAGUUCCAAAAAUAUACCAAGUACAACAACAAAAUUAC
Molecule: unclassified non-coding RNA, 202 nt
Filed under: Hevea brasiliensis (rubber tree)
Lineage: Eukaryota; Viridiplantae; Streptophyta; Magnoliopsida; Malpighiales; Euphorbiaceae
Source: RNAcentral